Cygnus olor (mute swan) is the source of this 718-nucleotide long non-coding RNA. RefSeq lists it as uncharacterized. Lineage: Eukaryota; Metazoa; Chordata; Aves; Anseriformes; Anatidae. The transcript has 3 exons. The record is from RefSeq and is a predicted model, not a curated record.
GCAAUUCAGCUGCUGCUUUAUAAUCCUCAGCCCCCGUCCCUUAUGCCAUCCCCUCCCAAAUGCAGGGCUACCUCUUCCUUGCGUGGUGUGUGCCCAUGGGUGCUCCGAGGGGCACAGCAUCUCCUCUAAUUCAGGCCUGCUGUGACCUUGGUGUUUGUUCUAAGCUCUAGCCUACCUUGUCCACAUCCUCCUCCAGGGAACUGCUCUGCACACCAUAACCCAUACGUGGGGAGACAUUCCCAGACUUCCUUUUUUUUUUUUUUUUGCUUUUUCCUUUCCUCAAUCCCACCCUACCAGCCCUGGCAGCCCCAAGCAGGACUUUGACAGAUCUUCCCGGACAUUUGCUGCCUUUUGCAGCCCUGGCCCUGUGGAGGGAAUUUCUUGUUCCCCAGUGUCCUGAGACCGAGCACCGACCCCAUCCAGCUGGCCCAGGGGAAGCAAAAUGAAGACUUUUGCUGGCUUCUGAGCAGCUGAAAGAUGUGGCCUUGUUUUCAGAACCAAGAGAGGUCUGCAAUGGCAGUGAGAAAACAAGAGACGAAGGCAUCCUUGAGGAGACCACGGAGAUCGUCAGCUGCUCAAGCAGGACAUUGUGCCUGGGAAAAGGCAGAAGCCAGUUGGACUGCCAGAGUGUGGACAAGCGAUGCUGUGGCAGCAUCGUGAUACUAUCAGGGUUUGCAAGUGCAGCAUAUGGAGAAAUAAACAUUACUUUUGGUACAAA